This 75-nucleotide transfer RNA is filed under the name Salmonella enterica subsp. enterica. RNAcentral's name for it is "tRNA-Pro". The record is from RNAcentral. Lineage: Bacteria; Pseudomonadati; Pseudomonadota; Gammaproteobacteria; Enterobacterales; Enterobacteriaceae.
GGGUGAUUAGCUCAGUUGGGAGAGCACCCCUGGGGCGAGGGGGGUUCCGGCGGUCGAUCCCGUCAUCACCCACCA